CUACGGGAGGCAGCAGUGGGGGAUAUUGCACAAUGGGGGGAACCCUGAUGCAGCGACGCCGCGUGAAGGAAGACGUACUUCGGUAUGUAAACUUCUAUCAGCAGGGAAGAAGAUGACGGUACCUGACUAAGAAGCCCCGGCUAACUACGUGCCAGCAGCCGC
This 162-nucleotide ribosomal RNA is filed under the name uncultured bacterium. Its description in RNAcentral is "partial 16S ribosomal RNA". It matches the Rfam family "Bacterial small subunit ribosomal RNA", at positions 339 to 518 of the family's 1533-position model. The record is from RNAcentral.